Non-coding RNA from Phascolarctos cinereus (koala), 404 nucleotides. The record is from RefSeq and is a predicted model, not a curated record. NCBI's taxonomy places the organism in Eukaryota, Metazoa, Chordata, Mammalia, Diprotodontia, Phascolarctidae.
CAUGUGCUGUCAUUUAAGAGUGGAUUGCAUUACCCUAUCACCAAAAAAUGUGGCAAUUAAAUGUCUUGCCAGAAGUCCAUAGCAACUGAAUCCUCAGUACGCGGGUAGACAUGGCAAAUGGGCAGUUUGCACAGCAGUGAGCCAGAAGGGUUAGCCAAGGAAAUUAUCAAAAGGAAGGCAAAGUGUUGAAUACAUUGUUCCAAGCAAGUAUGGAAAGCAGUGACUAAAAAAGACAUGGAAACCGAAUAGCAGAUGAUAAAUAAUAAAUCAAAGGUAAAGUGAAGUAGGUAGGGCCAAGAAAAUACUACACACAAUGACUACCACAAUGAAAAUGGAAAGAUCAACACUAUCAGCAACACAAUCAAAACUGAAUGCUGAAAAUAUAACGAGCAAACUUUGUCCCA